AUGGGGCGGCCAGUGGCUGAGCUGCACGACGCGGCAGGUGCGCAUCUACGCGUACAUCGACCCGGAGACCAACGCCUUCGACAAGACGCAGACAGACAAGCUCACGGCCUCACGGUCAUGCUCGACCCCACCGAGUUCGUCUGGACCGACGAGACAUGCCAGAUGGUCUACAACGAGUUCCAGGACCUCGUCGACCACGAGGUAAACAAACUAACCAUACCACCAUUCGUGCAUUACGUGGCAAAAUGGACAUUUCCAUGUUCAUCUACUUCUGAUACAUUAAAAUUACCAAAAAUUUGGAAACCAGCUUCAUGUAGCAGAAUUUUCUAG
This 330-nucleotide ribosomal RNA is filed under the name Triticum aestivum (bread wheat). RNAcentral describes it as "partial small subunit ribosomal RNA". The record is from RNAcentral. Lineage: Eukaryota; Viridiplantae; Streptophyta; Magnoliopsida; Poales; Poaceae.